This 66-nucleotide transfer RNA is filed under the name Delia platura. RNAcentral's name for it is "tRNA-Leu". It matches the Rfam family "tRNA". Rfam says of the family: Transfer RNA (tRNA) molecules are approximately 80 nucleotides in length. Their secondary structure includes four short double-helical elements and three loops (D, anti-codon, and T loops). Lineage: Eukaryota; Metazoa; Arthropoda; Insecta; Diptera; Anthomyiidae. The record is from RNAcentral.
UCUAAUAUGGCAGAUUAGUGCAAUGGAUUUAAACUCCAUAUAUAAAGUAUUUUACUUUUAUUAGAA